AUUGAACGCUGGCGGAAUGCUUUACACAUGCAAGUCGAACGGCAGCACGGACUUCGGUCUGGUGGCGAGUGGCGAACGGGUGAGUAAUGUAUCGGAACGUGCCCAGUCGUGGGGGAUAACGUAGUGAAAAUUACGCUAAUACCGCAUACGAUCUAUGGAUGAAAGCGGGGGAUCGCACGACCUCGCGCGAUUGGAGCGGCCGAUAUCAGAUUAGGUAGUUGGUGGGGUAAAGGCCCACCAAGCCAACGAUCUGUAGCUGGUCUGAGAGGACGACCAGCCACGCUGGAACUGAGACACGGUCCAGACUCCUACGGGAGGCAGCAGUGGGUAAUUUUGGACAAUGGGCGAAAGCCUGAUCCAGCCAUUCCGCGUGCAGGAUGAAGGCCCUCGGGUUGUAAACUGCUUUUGUACAGAACGAAAAGGUUUCUACUAAUACUAGGAGCUCAUGACGGUACUGUAAGAAUAAGCACCGGCUAACUACGUGCCAGCAGCCGCGGUAA
This 500-nucleotide ribosomal RNA is filed under the name uncultured bacterium. Its description in RNAcentral is "partial 16S ribosomal RNA". It matches the Rfam family "Bacterial small subunit ribosomal RNA", at positions 30 to 523 of the family's 1533-position model. The record is from RNAcentral.